GACGAGCCGUACGAACGUUAUUCGGAAUCACUGGGCUUAAAGGGUGCGUAGGCUGCGCAGCAAGUUGGGUGUGAAAUCCCUCGGCUUAACCGAGGAACUGCGCCCAAAACUGCUGUGCUCGAGGGAGAUAGAGGUGAGCGGAACUUAGGGUGGAGCGGUGAAAUGCGUUGAUAUCCUAAGGAACACCGGUGGCGAAAGCGGCUCACUGGAUCUCUUCUGACGCUGAGGCACGAAAGCGUGGGGAGCGAACAGG
This 253-nucleotide ribosomal RNA is filed under the name uncultured bacterium. Its description in RNAcentral is "partial 16S ribosomal RNA". It matches the Rfam family "Bacterial small subunit ribosomal RNA", at positions 524 to 776 of the family's 1533-position model. The record is from RNAcentral.